CUCGGACAGAAUGGAUGGAUUUGUUUCACACAGAUCAGCUUCACAUAAAUCACUUACUUGCUUCAGAAGGAACUUCUAGAGAGGAUGGCAUGAAGGUUUAACUGGAGAAUCGCUGUCUUCUGGACAGAAUGAAUCCCGAGUCCCUGGACUCAUCGAUCCAGAGCUGUCUGUCUGCCCUCUACCCACCGUUUGAGGUUACGGCCUCUACUGUCCUCAGCCAACUCUUCCAGGUCAUUGAGGGUCGUUACUACGGAGAUGCCCUCCAGUGUCUGACCGACUUCCUCAUCCCUGCCAGAAACCUUUUGGAGAGUUUGCAGCAGGCGGCCUGUGCUCCGUAUUCUCAGAGGGUGUUCAAGUUUUCCGGGUGGCCUUUGUGUUUACACGAUCGCAUCGUGAUUCAGCUCGCUCCCGUUAACACUCUUCUGCUCAAACCAGGAGACUUUUACCUGCAGGUUGUGCCUUUUGGAAACCAGGCGGCCCGCAUUGUGGUCCAGAGCCUUUUGGAGGUGGAAUGUAAGCUGGAGGAAACCCCAAUACCAGAGACCUCGUAUCCUAGCAUCUUCACUGAAGCCUGGCUUCGAGAACUGAAUGAGGGGAGACAUGGAACGCUUCUGGCUCGCUGCGUCCUCAAAACUGAGCAGGGCGUAGUCAAGGUUCCUUGGGAAGAGGUGGCCAAUCCUGAAUUUGAAGACGAUCGGAGGAUGGCCUCCUCUUCUCCGUCAAACCAACAAGAGUCUUUGAAUUUGUGCCAUCCACAUACGCCUACACCUUCUAAUUUCUCAGUCGAGACGAGGAUUUGUCCUGCACGGGAUGGUAUAGCAGUGUCCUUGCGUUUGGUAGACAACAGUAGUAGUUCCAGACAAGCUGAAAUGGAUCCAGCUCAGCCUGGGAUGCGACCGGUGGGAUGGGUGUCUCCAAACACAUGGGACAGCAGAAGUAAGAGCAGUUUGGUUAGCAAUUGCAAUGAUCUAAUGGACCUCACCAAAGAAACCCACUGUGUACAACCUCAUACUACCAUGCUGAGGUCCAGUAGUGCUACUCGGGACCGUACGGCUUGCGUUCGCACCGUGAGGUUCGCAGAGGAACCCUGUACGCCGUGCAUGCAGAGGAAACGCGGACAAGGGACCAAAGCGCAAAAAUGUCGGUACAUGGAUGCACAGGAGAAACCUAUUAAACCCAAAGAAAGGUCUGUGCAUUCAAAUGAACAGAGAAGCCUUCACAGGCCUGCUCAGGAAAAUGCAUCUUGUUGCAGCUCUUCAGAAACAGGUCCAUUAGGUGAUCACUCUAGCGAAGGACAAAAGGAUCAAACACAGAACAUUUCUCAGGAUAAGAUAGACUGUUUUGCUCCAACUGUUGUUGGGACGUCUGAGAAGUGCCACAUUGUUGUCCAAGGUGAGACAAACGAGGUGGACAGAAGCAGCUACUUUGAAUUGAUUCCCAGGCUGCAUGUGGUUCCAGGGAAGAAGACCACCACUUUUGGACUUGUGUCUCCGAAGAUAUACAGGAGACGACUACCAGCUCAAGAUCUCUCUCAGGACCCAAAAACUCUGUCCCCUCAUGUUACUGGACCACGGAUAAAUCUUUCAGACACAUCAGUGCAAGCUGAAACAGACAGACCACCAUCCAGAUCAUCCACACCUCCUCCACUUAAAGCCAAUGGCUUCCUUCACUCAGGAAUGGUGUGUCUUACAGGCGGUCAGGACCGUUCAGGUCGAGCAGUUGUGGAGAUUUAUGGAGAUCAUCAGGUCUGGGUUUCUGCACCCAUUUCAAGCCAGGAGAUCUGCAAACUACUGCUGUACUUCCACACCAUCACCAGGAAAGAAAAAGAUCUAGGGAUGACAGUGGUGUUUGAUGCACGGAAGAAGCCACCACAUUCAGAGUUCGCCAAAGCUCUCCUAAUGCUCCAGGAACUCAAUCCUCAUGCUGUGCAUUGGGUUCUGCUGCUGCUGAAUAAGGACAACAGCCACAGUCAUGAGAAACGGCCUGGUGUUACGAUGGAAACUGUGACGUCACUUAAGGCUCUAAAUAAAAUAGUUGAUGUCAGUCAGCUGACUGCGGCUCUACACGGAUCCUUCCAAUACAAUCACUGCGACUGGCUACAAAUCCAUCAGAAACUGUAUCCAUUUGUGUCAGAUCUUCAGGAGGCGUCCGCUCUGCUAUCAGGAGCCAUAAAGAAACUGGAAGGUGUUCAUAAAAUCGACACAGUACAGGAUGUGCAGCAGUGCAUUGAGGAGCAGGGAGCUCUAAUGAAGGAUGUGCUUGAAGACGCACGAUUGGUCGGAUUGCAAAGGGGAGGCGGAGCCAUGCUGGCGAGGCUGAGGCGGGAAACUGAAGUGAGGUCACCAGACUGUGAACCGAGCCGUGAGGUGAUCGACACAGUCACACAUUUGUACAACGCCAUGGAAGAGCAGGUGCACAUCCUAGCCAGGAAGUCCAAUAUGUCCCUGCAGCACCUCGACUUCCUGUUACAGCUCAGAGAGAUGGAGUCCAGGUUUGCAAAGAUUAAGGACUGGUUCGACACCGAAGGAGAAACGCGGCUUCUACAGGCUGAAUCUGUGGAAGACUGCAGCGAACGAAUCCAGCAAACACUGCAGAGUUUCAAAGCUUUUCUCUCCGAAGCAAAUGAGCGAAAGCAUCAGGCGAUGAUGCUGGUGUCGGAUGCAGAGAGCGUUCAGGGGCCAAACUACCCCGAGACGGAGGUGUUUCAUAGGAUGGUGUCCAUGUUUAAAUCCAGUCUGGCUGAUUUCGUGUCGCGGGCCGAGCGCUGCUGUGAAGAGCUGGGGAUGAUGGUGUACAUCUGUCACUUCUGUGAGAGGGCAUCAGCCGUGGCCAACGAUUGCAGGCGAUUUUUGGAACAGGAGCAAUACUGCUGUUCUCCAGAUGAAGAGCGCUGGACACUUCUUCACACUUACCUGCAGAGAUUAGACGAGUUUUCUCCUGAGCACUUCCAGGACGUGAGAGCGCAGGCGUCUUCCAGCUCUAGAGCUCUGCAGGUGUGGAACGCCGCCUGGAUCCACUGCCAGGAGGUCCGGCGACAGCUGGAGGAGAGACUGGCACUUCUGGAAGGAGUUCAAACGGCCGCUGGACAUCACUCUGAUUGGCCCGAAGUCAUUCCAGUACCAGAUGAGCAUGAGACUGUGCCCGAGCUGUCGGAGAGCAGGGCGAGUCGGGCGAGAGACAGCAUUCACGGCACCGUCACCUGCUUCAACUUCAGAUCCAACCACAAAACCCAGAAACACUCCAAAACCGCUCAGACUGCGAAGGAAAAUCCCGCAGACUGCAGCCACAGAGGCAAAAACACUGGCAGAAAAGCGUCCCAAGAGCAGAAACCCGUUGCAGGCUUGAGUAUGGUGGGCUGUCAGUGGUUUCCUUGGCAGAACACAGCCAGCAGAAACAUCAGCAAAGGAUCUGAGCACCACAUCACAGAGCCCAUCCUUUGCCAGAACCAGCCAUAUGUAAACUCCCGUCACAACAGCUUCUGCUCUCAGACGGCCUGUGAAGAGACAGAGGGCGCUAGAGACAUCUCUGUUUUCACAGACGGAUGGAGAACUGAUGGGGAAAACACUGCAUCCACCCCAGAAAGCCCAAACAGAACCAUGAAGCUUCAUCGUAUCUUGGAGGAGCUCCUGCUGACAGAGGUGGAGUACGUCCGCUCUCUCGGCUACAUCUUGACUCACUACUUCCCCCUGCUGUCCAGACCGGAUGUCCCACAGGAUCUGCGAGGUCAACGCGGGCGCAUAUUCGGCAACCUGGAGAAACUGUACGACUUCCACUGCCAGCACUUCCAGCAGGAACUGGAGGCCUGUCAGGCAGAACCGCUCAGAGUCGGACGCUGUUUCCUGAAUCACAGAGAGAGUUUUGGACUUUACGCCCUUUACAGCAAGAACAAACCCCAGUCUGACGCACUAAUCCAGCAUCACAGAUACUUCAAGCGUAAGCAGAUGGAGUUGGGUGACAGCAUGGAUCUCUCCUCAUACCUGCUGAAACCAGUCCAGCGCAUCAGUAAAUACAGUCUCCUGCUGCAGGAGAUCCUGGACGAAUGUGUGCCGGAUCAGAGCGGAGAACGAGAGGAGAUCCAGGCGGCUCUAGAGGUGGUGCGAUUCCAGCUGCGGCACGGGAACGACCUGCUCACCAUGGACGCCAUCCGUGACUGUGAUCUGAAUCUGAACGAGCAGGGCCAACUGAUUCGGCAGGAUGAAUUCUGGGUAAUUUUCCGCAAGAAACGUUCCCUCCGGCGAGUGUUUCUCUUCCAAGAUGUCAUCCUCUUCACCAAGACCAAAAAAAACGACGAGCGUGGAGAUGAUGUGUACGUUUACAAAAUGUCUAUCAAGACCUGUGAGAUUGGAAUGACCCAUUCUUGCGGGGUGAGUGGCCGGAGUUUCGAGAUCUGGUUCAGGAGAAGACGCUCUCAGGACACCUACAUCCUACAGGCAGAAACACGGGACGCCAAAGAGGCCUGGACCAGAGACCUGGAGCACAUACUGUGGGAACAAGCGCUGAAGAGCAGAGAGCUGAGGAGACAGGAGAGGUUGUUCAUGGGAAUGGGUUGGAAACCAUUUGCUGACAUUCAACCUAGAAAUGCAGCUGUUAGCAAUCACACCGUAAAUGGUGACGUCACAGGAAGAGAAGUUGUAGGAAUACUGAAAACACCCAAUCCCUUGGUGUCCAGCCUUCAAAGGGGUGUGGCUUUGCCACGGCCAGAUUCGAUUGGCUCUGGCAGCAGCACAUCAACGGCAGGCAGCCACUCAUCAUCCUCAUCUGGGCGGGGCUCCAUGUCACCCAGCGUUUUCCAAGGAAAAUACGAUUCCUCUACAGAGAACACGGGUUUAUUUAGCUGUGCGGAUCAUAAUUGCCCCACAAGGAGGAGAGCGUCUGUGUCGUCACUGCUUUACUCCAGACCUUCAGCGUGUCAGUCGUCUUCUGCUCACGUUCUUCACUACGACUCACCUGCCCUGUCCAGGAAGAAGCUCAGUUCACAAACAGAUGCUCACGGUUCUCUCAAGGUUGAGAAAUCAACGCAUAUCAGCUCUGGCUAAAAACCCAUGUCAGUUUCAAGAGCCAAUUCGUUCCAAGGCAUCAACAGAAGUUUAGCUGUGAUAGAGGCAUGCUUACAUCUCUUCAGAAGCAGUUCACUGAUGUCAGAUCAGGAUAUGAGAAGCUCCAACAGAUGCUCCUUAUGAGAUGUUUAUGGACUUAAAAUCUCUUACUUUAUGGAUUCAACUGCUGAAAAAAAAGAGAUUUCGAUUUUUGUUUGAAUAAAUGCAGUGGGAAAGAAGAAAAAAAGCAUAAACAAGAUGAUAUCGACCAGAUCUGAGACUGUAGACCAGUUCUUUAUUUCCAGUAUUGACCAUCUGAGAAGACGUGUGAGGAACUACAAGGACUUUUUCCUGGAAAAACAAUAGAAAUAUUCUGUUAAAGCUUGACGUAUUGUGCAAUUAUUUUGCAUGAGACUAUUUCUUGAUGUACUGUAAAACUGUAAUGGAUUCUGAAAUCAGAUGCGAUGCAAAUGCAAUGUUCAAUAUUACAAAGACCAGGAUGUAAACUAAUAGCCAAAUAUAUUUUCUUUUAUCAUCAAACUUCCUGCUAUAACACUGAAAUGUUGUGCUUUCUACAUUUAUCCAGCUUAAAAAUCCUAGUAUACAGUAGGGGAUCAAAACCUUUCAUUUUUUCAAAGUUGUCCUAAAACCAAAAGAAUACCUGCUCUUGUUUUAGAACAACUUGGAUGAACUUUUUUGAUCCACUUCAGAUGUUGACUACUGUAGUUUAUUGGGUUCAGGGAAUUUUGAAAAUAUAUACACAAUUGCUUGAAAAUAAAUUGAUAAUUAAUUUGGACUGUUUAAAGAUUUUAUACAGCAUGUGUGAAAGUUUUGGACUGUUCAUUUUGUGUAC
Labeo rohita (rohu) is the source of this 5889-nucleotide RNA transcript. It is a transcript of the gene named pleckstrin homology domain-containing family G member 4B, with no coding region annotated. Lineage: Eukaryota; Metazoa; Chordata; Actinopteri; Cypriniformes; Cyprinidae. The transcript has 25 exons. The record is from RefSeq and is a predicted model, not a curated record.